This 406-nucleotide ribosomal RNA is filed under the name uncultured bacterium. RNAcentral describes it as "partial 16S ribosomal RNA". It matches the Rfam family "Bacterial small subunit ribosomal RNA", at positions 29 to 526 of the family's 1533-position model. The record is from RNAcentral.
AUUGAACGCUGGCGGCAGGCCUAACACAUGCAAGUCGAGCGCGCGGCGGAGGGGUGAGUAAUGUCUGUGAGACUGCCUGCUGGAGGGGGAUAACUACUGGAGAAGGGAGCGAAUAACGCGUACCAUCAGGUGUGACCAGAUGGGAUUAGCUAGUAGGGGGGGUAACGGCGCACCUAGGCGACGCUCUCUAGCUGGUCUGAGAGGAUGACAAGCCAAACUGGAACUGAGACACGGUCCAUACUCCUACGGGAGGCAGCAGUGGGGAAUAUUGCACAAGGGGCGCAAGCCUGAGGCAGCCAUGCCGCGUGUGUGAAGAAGGCCUUAGGGUUGUAAAGCACUUUCAGCGGGGAGGCGUUACCCGCAGAAGAAGCACCGGCUAACUCCGUGCCAGCAGCCGCGGUAAUUC